RNAcentral lists this long non-coding RNA (686 nucleotides) under Danio rerio (zebrafish). RNAcentral describes it as "lncRNA (ENSDARG00000117274.1)". The record is from RNAcentral. Lineage: Eukaryota; Metazoa; Chordata; Actinopteri; Cypriniformes; Danionidae.
AUGGUCAAUCAGAUGUUCAUGUGUGUGUGUGUGUUUGUGUGUGUUUUGAUGUUCUGUCUCCACAGGCUCAGCUAUUUGCUAAAAGAGAGCAUGAAAAUGUGGUGCAGGUGCUGGAGAGCACACUGGACUGCAUGCAGGCAAAAGUGCGCGAGCUGGAGGACAAAUGCCGCAGUCAGAGUCAGCAGUUCGGGAUGCUGUCGCAGGAGCUGGAUAAAUUCAGACUUCAGGCCUCGAAGAUCGACCUAUCAGAGGCCGCUUUACUGUGCGGCGCCACCCUGAGUCAGCUGACCAAUGGGGUUGGCCUACCCGGAGACACCGGUACGUUAAAACUAUCAUUACACACAGAUUACACAGACGGGUUGAGAAAUAAAAGUUUGAUGUAAGGUUUAUGAUAAGCCACUGUGAGUUUGGAAGUUUAACUGACGGCUCUGUGUGAUGCAUUUGCAUGUGAAGGGGAGUCAGAUUUUCAUACCACUUUCCGUCACCUCCUCUAGCCAGUGGCUCAAAUUUUGUCAACCCGCCAAUGCCAUUUUUUAGCUGCACAAUCAAAUUCAAAACCGCCCAAUCUGGCAACACUGAAUACGAGUUUCUUUGCAUUUGCUGGAUUUAUUAGGUGUGGGUCAAAUGUUAAUAUUUGUUUAUUAAUACAUUUUAAUAAAUGUCUUUAACGUUUAUUUAUUUAUUUU